GAUGAAGAACGUAGCGAAAUGCGAUACGUAAUGUGAAUUGCAAAUUCAGUGAAUCAUCGAGUCUUUGAAGGCACAUUGCGCCCCCUGGUAUUCCGGGGGGCAUGCCUGUCCGAGCGUCAUUGCUGCCCUCAAGCACGGCUUGUGUGUUGGGCCCCGUCCUCCGAUCCCGGGGGACGGGCCCGAAAGGCAGCGGCGGCACCGCGUCCGGUCCUCGAGCGUAUGGGGCUUUGUCACCCGCUCUGUAGGCCCGGCCGGCGCUUGCCGAUCAACCCAAAUUUUUAUCCAGGUUGACCUCGGAUCAGGUAGGGAUACCCGCUGAACUUAAGCAUAUCAAUAAGCGGAGGA
RNAcentral lists this unclassified non-coding RNA (345 nucleotides) under soil metagenome. RNAcentral describes it as "partial contains 5.8S ribosomal RNA, internal transcribed spacer 2, and large subunit ribosomal RNA". The stretch from base 1 to 119 matches the Rfam family "5.8S ribosomal RNA", at positions 35 to 154 of the family's 154-position model. The record is from RNAcentral.